GGGUUUUUACAAAGAUUCCUUCCUCAAAAUUCGACAAUGAACUGGAAAGACCCGUUCUCAUUGCUGAUGUACACUUUGGAAGUGACUGUAAACUAUACAUACUUGUAAUAAUCAUUAGGUUUCCUUGAAAGAUUUACGGUUAUAAUUAUGUGACAUCUUCAAAAACUUUCAGAAAACUUGAUGACUAUGCUACACAUACUAAAGAAAAAUAUCCAGC
RNAcentral lists this long non-coding RNA (217 nucleotides) under Elaeis guineensis (African oil palm). RNAcentral's name for it is "long non-coding RNA (EGUI_LNC028744)". The record is from RNAcentral. Lineage: Eukaryota; Viridiplantae; Streptophyta; Magnoliopsida; Arecales; Arecaceae.